AUUGAACGCUGGCGGAAUGCUUUACACAUGCAAGUCGAGCGGCAGCACGGGGGCAACCCUGGUGGCGAGCGGCGAACGGGUGAGUAACACAUCGGAACAUGCCCAGUCGUGGGGGAUAACACUUCGAAAGAAGUGCUAAUACCGCAUACGUCCUGAGGGAGAAAGCGGGGGAUCGCAAGACCUCGCGCGAUUGGAGUGGCCGAUGUCAGAUUAGCUAGUUGGUGGGGUAAAGGCCUACCAAGGCAACGAUCUGUAGCUGGUCUGAGAGGAUGAUCAGCCACACUGGGACUGAGACACGGCCCAGACUCCUACGGGAGGCAGCAGUGUGGAAUUUUGGACAAUGGGGGCAACCCUGAUCCAGCCAUUCCGCGUGAGUGAAGAAGGCCUUCGGGUUGUAAAGCUCUUUCGGCAGGAACGAAACGGUGAGCUCUAACAUAGCUUGCUAAUGACGGUACCUGAAGAAGAAGCACCGGCUAACUACGUG
Molecule: ribosomal RNA, 484 nt
Filed under: uncultured bacterium
Lineage: Bacteria
Description: partial 16S ribosomal RNA
Rfam family: Bacterial small subunit ribosomal RNA
Source: RNAcentral